UGGAUUUAACGUGACUGGCGAAAAAAGUGGAUUACCACUGGGGAACGUAAAAGGACAGUCGCUCGCCUGGGCUGGACAA
Regulatory RNA element from Varibaculum cambriense DORA_20, 79 nucleotides. It matches the Rfam family "ZMP/ZTP riboswitch aptamer (pfl RNA motif)". Rfam says of the family: Previously known as pfl RNA. ZMP is also known as AICAR. The record is from Rfam. Lineage: Bacteria; Bacillati; Actinomycetota; Actinomycetes; Actinomycetales; Actinomycetaceae.